Molecule: long non-coding RNA, 1009 nt
Organism: Passer domesticus (house sparrow)
Lineage: Eukaryota; Metazoa; Chordata; Aves; Passeriformes; Passeridae
Exons: 3
Source: RefSeq, a predicted model, not a curated record
GAUUGAGGAAAACAUUCAUCACAAACAAACAACCUCAGCCAACUCUUCAAGUCCGACUUCAGCUCAGUGUCAAUUAAGGGAGAGGAGCAGCUGGUGCCACCUUCAACAUCAACACCUGCCUGAAAGGACAUGGAGGCAGCAGCCAGCAUGAAGCCUCUGGGAAGGAGUACAGGGCUGGAAGGGAGAAUUUGAGGAGCAUAUUGGGAGUAGCAUGCCAAGUGUCAUAUCUCAUUAACCAAGUGAGCCUGUAUGCCAGAGAAACUUCACUGAGUCAAAAGAACGGAUGGAGCACUAUUAAUGAAGUCACUGGAUCUCAAAAUCUUCUCUACCACCCUCAAGGAAAACACUGGGGGAUUUUUGGCAAUUUUGAUACACAAGCAUGCUGUCAAAAUGCAUAUUGCUGUGACCUGAAGUGGCUUUUUUAUCCUAAAUGACCUGCCUCCACAGAUUUGAUGAAUUCAAGUUCCAGGGCUGUCAGCUGUAAAACAUGCCGGUGCCAAAGGAAAGAAGGCAGGGACUGGAAGAGCACCAUCAUAUCCUCAGUGUAUCCUAGGCUACAUUCCAGGAUCGCUUGUGCUGCUGUUGAAGAUUUUGGUUGAUUUCAGAUUAGAGCCACGUGAGUUUCUUAAUUACAUCUGGACUUUAGGAAAGUCAAUUUUUUUUAAUCUCAGAGUAGUACGAGUGAAUCUCACAUCACAGUUUUAAAUGUGCCUUCCACUCAGGUUGCAUCUAAACUGUGCCAAAAUCAAUGUGACUGGUACUUCACCUCAGACCCACCACAUAAGAUAAACAAGACUGGAUUUUGAAACUGGAUGACCUGACUGAUUGCACAGGAUAUUUUUUAGUUUUGAAAUGUCUUUGGCUGCAGGGACUUGUUUGUCCUGUGUUAGAAACUUUCAGAGAAAACCUGGACCUCAGGGAAAAUGGCAAGAAACCAAAAACUGAAGCCAAUAUAUAAAGGCAUGCCAAAAUUCUUGCCAGCAAGGUUUUUAUAGCUGCAUUUAAAAAC